RNAcentral lists this transfer RNA (63 nucleotides) under Cryptopygus antarcticus travei. Its description in RNAcentral is "tRNA-His". The record is from RNAcentral. Lineage: Eukaryota; Metazoa; Arthropoda; Collembola; Entomobryomorpha; Isotomidae.
GUUUAAAUAGUUUAAUUAAAAAUUAAAGAUUGUGAUUCUUUAGAUAGAUAUAUCUUUUAGGCG